UAUUUUCCAAGCCCCUGAACACCAUCAGACAAGGCAAUAUACAAAGCCACAAACAUAUAUAUAAGGAAACUCAAUUCCUUUCCUUUUCACGCACAAGCAUCUGAUCUUUCUUUCUUGUUUUCUUUUUUUUCUUCUUCUUGCUGCAGCAACAACACGCACACCAUGCCUUCUAAUUUUUCUCAUCACCAAUUUCUUCUUCAUUUUUCCUUGUUGCAACAAACGACCCACGCACCAUAGUCAUUCAUCACCAUGCCAAUUUUCUCAUCACCCUUCAAGCACCAAACCCACGAGCACAAAGGGAGAGAGGGAGAACAAGUUUUUUCGCCGUUUCUUGCCUGAUCGUCUCACUGACAGUUGCUAUGCGUAGACCUCGAGGUUCGUUUGUGGAAACCUUAGACUUGACUGAGCAAGCUUGGGAGUGUGACUUACACUGUGAUUCUGGAAGAACUAGAGAUGCCGUUGACGGAUCGUUUCGUGAUGCUUCGUCGUUCGGGGAAGACCCGGAGCGAAAUGACUACUACUGAGCCUUCGACGUGGACCCGGACUUCAUGCAGGAUCGGAUGAGGGUCGAUGUUAGGGGUGUAGUACAUAGGGUUUCGUUGUCAUAGCUCUGAUUUUCAUUUCUUAUUUUGGGGCAGGGUAGGUCCCCGACUAUUAGCUUUUUGUGUGGUUCUCUUCCAUGAGGAUCACAGGGAGUUUGUCGGACGUACGAGGUCUUUUGGAAGCCGUUAUGGGCUAACUUACUUUUUGGAGGACUGUAUUUAUAAAACUUAUGACUCUAUCUAUGGGUCGCACUUGUUUGCCGUUGGGCAUUACUUUUAGUUACUAGGUGUUACUUUCUGUCACUCGAUGACACUCGUGACGAUGAUUUUGGUUGCAGCGAGGGCUAUGCUUUUAUUGUAUGUUAGUCGCUGUUAAUCGCGAUUGGGUUGAGUCUUUAAAUUCGACAAGUCUUUUUAUUUAAAAAGAAAACGAAAAAAAAAUACCUGCUUUUCUGCUUUAUUUUAUCUUUGGUUACUAAAGUGGCGCCACCGAAAUCGGGGUGUUACAUUCCCUUCAUAUUCCCUUCUCCCAUCUUCCUCUUCUCUUGGACCACUGCUUUGGCAUCUGGCGAGAUAGCAAGCUGGUGGCUGAUGAAGUUGGGAUCGAUUCCCGGCACAUGUAAGUAUCAUAACAUCAAAAGAAAUAACAAUAGACAAAUAAUGACAACUCAUCCAGGUUUCAAGAAACAUAAUGAUAUUCAACAAUAUCAAAUCAACAAGGCAGAAUGCAUGAUGAGAUGGGCACCAACGAGUCAGUCCUAACACCGGCCUAAUGUUUAACCAUUUCCGCUCGAGCGUCUCUUACACCAAACAAAUGUAGAAGAUCAGUCGUAACCCACAGGUCUGCCAUUUCCGUCUGCUACUAAGAACCACACGUAGUGUUCUUAUGUGAAAACCCGGGUCUUAUGACAAUUUUAGGAAAGGUCCGACAUCCCAUUGUGUAUUAACCUCAAUAUGUAUGAAUGGUACAAUAUGAUUAGCCAAUCAACGUACGACCUCACCCAUCACGUCGUCAUGUGUUCUAGCUAACAUAUUGUCUCUAAAAAUACCCUAAGGUAAAUGUCAAUUCUACGACAAAAGACAAUUAAUAUUGAAAUUCUAGUUCCCGUAUAGAAGAUGUCCUACGCAAGGCUUAUGCAAUUGCUUAGAUAAUCAAAUAACAGUGAAGAGUAAAAACAUAAAAUAAAUAAGACGCAACAUCAAAGUUGUUAACCCAGUUCGGUGAAACUUCACCUACGUCUGGAGGGUUCGCACCCAAAGAAAAGAUAUUUAUUAUCUCAAGAUUCAGGAACUACAGACACUCAUCAACACCACAGCUCAUAGUUCUCUUCCUAAUCUACCCAGUGUAUUUCUACUUAGUAUAUCGACCUAAGUAUAAGAGCCUCUCUCAGUUUCUCUCAACCACUGCCAUACAAGGACUAACACAAUUAACAACCCUAAAACACUUGAUCUGAUUCUCUCAAUAGCUUCAGUAGUCUUCACGUUUUAGGUCUUCAAUAUAUAUAAGCAUCAGCAGCCACAUUAGGGUUU
Molecule: long non-coding RNA, 2072 nt
Organism: Lotus japonicus
Lineage: Eukaryota; Viridiplantae; Streptophyta; Magnoliopsida; Fabales; Fabaceae
Exons: 3
Source: RefSeq, a predicted model, not a curated record